RNAcentral lists this ribosomal RNA (229 nucleotides) under uncultured bacterium. RNAcentral describes it as "partial 16S ribosomal RNA". It matches the Rfam family "Bacterial small subunit ribosomal RNA", at positions 568 to 796 of the family's 1533-position model. The record is from RNAcentral.
UCCGUAGGUGGAUAAUUAAGUCAGAGGUGAAAUCCUGCAGCUCAACUGUAGAAUUGCCUUUGAUACUGGUUAUCUUGAGUUAUUAUGAAGUAGUUAGAAUAUGUAGUGUAGCGGUGAAAUGCAUAGAUAUCACAUAGAAUACCAAUUGCGAAGGCAGAUUACUAAUAAUCAACUGACACUGAUGGACGAAAGCGUGGGGAGCGAACAGGAUUAGAUACCCUGGUAGUCC